RNAcentral lists this ribosomal RNA (392 nucleotides) under uncultured bacterium. Its description in RNAcentral is "partial 16S ribosomal RNA". It matches the Rfam family "Bacterial small subunit ribosomal RNA", at positions 523 to 918 of the family's 1533-position model. The record is from RNAcentral.
AUACGGAGGAUCCGAGCGUUAUCCGGAUUUAUUGGGUUUAAAGGGUGCGCAGGCGGCCAUUUAAGUCAGCGGUUAAAUCGUGGGGCUCAACCCCAUUCUGCCGUUGAUACUGGGUGGCUUGAUUGCGGUCGAGGUUGGCGGAAUUCGUUGUGUAGCGGUGAAAUGCAUAGAUAUGACUAAGAACACCGAUUGCGUAGGCAGCUGACCAGACCGCAAAUGACGCUCAUGCACGAAAGUGCGGGGAUCAAACAGGAUUAGAUACCCUGUUAGUCCGCACAGUAAACGAUGAAUACUUGUUUUCGGCGAUAUAAUGUCGGAGGCAAAGCGAAAGCGAUAAGUAUUCCACCUGGGGAGUACGCCGGCAACGGUGAAACUCAAAGGAAUUGACGGGG